This 333-nucleotide ribosomal RNA is filed under the name Methylocystis minimus. RNAcentral describes it as "bacterial SSU rRNA". It matches the Rfam family "Bacterial small subunit ribosomal RNA", at positions 53 to 414 of the family's 1533-position model. The record is from RNAcentral. Lineage: Bacteria; Pseudomonadati; Pseudomonadota; Alphaproteobacteria; Hyphomicrobiales; Methylocystaceae.
ACAUGCAAGUCGAACGCCCUAGCAAUAGGGAGUGGCAGACGGGUGAGUAACGCGUGGGAACGUACCCUUCGGUCUGGAAUAACCCAGGGAAACUUGGGCUAAUACCGGAUACGUGCGAGAGCAGAAAGAUUUAUCGCCGAAGGAUCGGCCCGCGUCCGAUUAGCUAGUUGGUGAGGUAAAAGCUCACCAAGGCGACGAUCGGUAGCUGGUCUGAGAGGAUGAUCAGCCACACUGGGACUGAGACACGGCCCAGACUCCUACGGGAGGCAGCAGUGGGGAAUAUUGGACAAUGGGCGAAAGCUGGAUCCAGCCAUGCCGCGUGAGUGAUGAAGG